Molecule: non-coding RNA, 28 nt
Filed under: Mus musculus (house mouse)
Lineage: Eukaryota; Metazoa; Chordata; Mammalia; Rodentia; Muridae
Source: RNAcentral
UGGACUAAAAUGAGCAGUUUCAAUCAUA